RNAcentral lists this ribosomal RNA (388 nucleotides) under Prasinoderma sp. RNAcentral describes it as "partial small subunit ribosomal RNA". It matches the Rfam family "Eukaryotic small subunit ribosomal RNA", at positions 582 to 975 of the family's 1831-position model. Lineage: Eukaryota; Viridiplantae; Prasinodermophyta; Prasinodermophyceae; Prasinodermales; Prasinodermaceae. The record is from RNAcentral.
AUUCCAGCUCCAAUAGCGUAUAUUUAAGUUGUUGCAGUUAAAAAGCUUGUAGUUGGAUUUUGGGUCGGGGGCACCGGUCCGCCGUUCCGGUGUGCACUGGUGGCCCCUUCCUUUCUGCCGGGGACGUGCGUCGCACUUAAUUGGGUGGCGUUCGGAGUCGGCGUUGUUACUUUGAAAAAAUUAGAGUGUUCAAAGCAAGCCAUCGCUCUGAAUACAUUAGCAUGGAAUAACAUGAUAGGACUCCGGUCUUAUUUUGUUGGUUUCCGAGACUGGAGUAAUGAUUAAGAGGGACAGUCGGGGGCAUCCGUAUUUCAUUGUCAGAGGUGAAAUUCUUGGAUUUAUGAAAGACGAACUUCUGCGAAAGCAUUUGCCAAGGAUGUUUUCAUCA